Molecule: unclassified non-coding RNA, 371 nt
Filed under: uncultured Cryptococcus
Lineage: Eukaryota; Fungi; Basidiomycota; Tremellomycetes
Description: sequence contains ITS1
Rfam family: 5.8S ribosomal RNA (bases 1-105)
Source: RNAcentral
GAAAUGCGAUAAGUAAUGUGAAUUGCAGAAUUCAGUGAAUCAUCGAAUCUUUGAACGCAAAUUGCACUCUUUGGUAUUCCGAAGAGUAUGCCUGUUUGAGUGUCAUGAAAACCUCAACUCCAAGUUUGGUUAAUCCAAGCUUGGAUGUUGGAUGUGGGCGUUUGUCAAUGAUGAAUUGACUUGCCUUAAAAAUGUGAGCUGGAUUAGUCUUUGCACUGGUUCCCCUAGGCGUAAUAAGUAUUUCGCUUAGGACACAAGUUCGCUUGUGGCCAGGACUUUGACAAUAGUCUGCUUUCUAUACCCCAUACGCACUUGUGUGUAUAUUCUUGACAUCUGGCCUCAAAUCAGGUAGGACUACCCGCUGAACUUAA